GACGAACGCUGGCGGCGUGCUUAACACAUGCAAGUCGAGCGGUAAGGCCUUUCGGGGUACACGAGCGGCGAACGGGUGAGUAACACGUGGGUGAUCUGCCCUGCACUUCGGGAUAAGCCUGGGAAACUGGGUCUAAUACCGGAUAUGACUUCCUAUCGCAUGGUGGGUGGUGGAAAGAUUUAUCGGUGCAGGAUGGGCCCGCGGCCUAUCAGCUUGUUGGUGGGGUAAUGGCCUACCAAGGCGACGACGGGUAGCCGACCUGAGAGGGUGACCGGCCACACUGGGACUGAGACACGGCCCAGACUCCUACGGGAGGCAGCAGUGGGGAAUAUUGCACAAUGGGCGAAAGCCUGAUGCAGCGACGCCGCGUGAGGGAUGACGGCCUUCGGGUUGUAAACCUCUUUCAGCAGGGACGAAGCGCAAGUGACGGUACCUGCAGAAGAAGCACCGGCUAACUACGUG
RNAcentral lists this ribosomal RNA (462 nucleotides) under uncultured bacterium. Its description in RNAcentral is "partial 16S ribosomal RNA". It matches the Rfam family "Bacterial small subunit ribosomal RNA", at positions 28 to 507 of the family's 1533-position model. The record is from RNAcentral.